Molecule: ribosomal RNA, 414 nt
Filed under: uncultured bacterium
Lineage: Bacteria
Description: bacterial SSU rRNA
Rfam family: Bacterial small subunit ribosomal RNA
Source: RNAcentral
AGUGGCGGACGGGUGAGUAAUGUAUGAGCAACCUGCCUUUCAGAGGGGGACAACAAGUUGGAAACGACUGCUAAUACCGCGUAACGUAUCGUGAGGGCAUCCUCAUGAUACCAAAGGAGCAAUCCGCUGAAAGAUGGGCUCAUAUCUGAUUAGCUUGUUGGCGGGGUAACGGCCCACCCAAGGCGACGAUCAGUAGCCGGACUGAGAGGUUGAACGGCCACAUUGGGACUGAGAUACGGCCCAGACUCCUACGGGAGGCAGCAGUGGGGAAUAUUGGGCAAUGGGCGAAAGCCCUGACCCAGCAACGCCGCGUGAAGGAAGAAGGUCUUCGGAUUGUAAACUUCUUUUAUGAGGGACGAAGGACGUGACGGUACCUCAUGAAUAAGCCACGGCUAACUACGUGCCAGCCGCGGC